AUACGGAGGGUGCAAGCGUUAUUCGGAAUUACUGGGCGUAAAGCGUACGCAGGCUGACCAUUAAGUUAGAGGUGAAAUCCCGGGGCUCAACCCCGGAACUGCCUUUAAAACUGCUGGUCUGGAGUUAUGGAGAGGUAAGUGGAAUUCCUAGUGUAGAGGUGAAAUUCGUAGAUAUUAGGAGGAACACCAGAGGCGAAGGCGGCUUACUGGACAUAUACUGACGCUGAGGUACGAAAGUGUGGGGAGCGAACGGGAUUAGAAACCCUAGUAGUCC
RNAcentral lists this ribosomal RNA (274 nucleotides) under uncultured bacterium. RNAcentral describes it as "partial 16S ribosomal RNA". It matches the Rfam family "Bacterial small subunit ribosomal RNA", at positions 523 to 796 of the family's 1533-position model. The record is from RNAcentral.